UUUCCCGUAGUAUAGUGGUCAGUAUGCAAGCUUGUCACGCUUGAGACCCGGGUUCAAUUCCCGGCGGGGAAG
Molecule: transfer RNA, 72 nt
Filed under: Ophiocordyceps unilateralis
Lineage: Eukaryota; Fungi; Ascomycota; Sordariomycetes; Hypocreales; Ophiocordycipitaceae
Also listed under: 1 other name
Rfam family: tRNA
About the family: Transfer RNA (tRNA) molecules are approximately 80 nucleotides in length.
Source: Rfam by way of RNAcentral